RNAcentral lists this transfer RNA (69 nucleotides) under Atelerix albiventris (middle-African hedgehog). RNAcentral's name for it is "tRNA-Ile". It matches the Rfam family "tRNA". Rfam says of the family: Transfer RNA (tRNA) molecules are approximately 80 nucleotides in length. The record is from RNAcentral. Lineage: Eukaryota; Metazoa; Chordata; Mammalia; Eulipotyphla; Erinaceidae.
AGAAAUAUGUCUGAUAAAAGAGUUACUUUGAUAGAGUAAUUUAUAGAGGUUUAAAUCCUCUUAUUUCUA